RNAcentral lists this ribosomal RNA (473 nucleotides) under uncultured bacterium. RNAcentral describes it as "bacterial SSU rRNA". It matches the Rfam family "Bacterial small subunit ribosomal RNA", at positions 335 to 802 of the family's 1533-position model. The record is from RNAcentral.
ACUCCUACGGGAGGCAGCAGUGGGGAAUAUUGCACAAUGGGGGAAACCCUGAUGCAGCCAUGCCGCGUGUGUGAAGAAGGCCUUCGGUUGUAAAGCACUUUCAGUAGGGAGGAAGGUAGUGUAGUUAACACCUGCACUAUUUGACGUUACCUACAGAAGAAGCACCGGCUAACUCCGUGCCAGCAGCCGCGGUAAUACGGAGGGGUGCGAGCGUUAAUCGGAAUUACUGGGCGUAAAGCGCAUGCAGGCGGCCUGUUAAGUCAGAUGUGAAAGCCCGGGGGCUUAACCUCGGAAUUGCAUUUGAAACUGGCAGGCUAGAGUCUUGUAGAGGGGGUAGAAUUUCAGGUGUAGCGGUGAAAUGCGUAGAGAUCUGAAGGAAUACCAGUGGCGAAGGCGGCCCCCUGGACAAAGACUGACGCUCAGAUGCGAAAGCGUGGGGAGCAAACAGGAUUAGAUACCCUGGUAGACUGUCA